RNAcentral lists this ribosomal RNA (433 nucleotides) under uncultured bacterium. RNAcentral's name for it is "partial 16S ribosomal RNA". It matches the Rfam family "Bacterial small subunit ribosomal RNA", at positions 29 to 507 of the family's 1533-position model. The record is from RNAcentral.
AGCGAACGCUGGCGGCAGGCUUAACACAUGCAAGUCGAGCGGACCUUUCGGGGUCAGCGGCGGACGGGUGAGUAACGCGUGGGAACGUGCCUUCCGGUUCGGAAUAACCCUGGGAAACUCGGGCUAAUACCGGAUACGCCCUUAUGGGGAAAGGUUUACUGCCGGAAGAUCGGCCCGCGUCUGAUUAGCUAGUUGGUGGGGUAACGGCCUACCAAGGCGACGAUCAGUAGCUGGUCUGAGAGGAUGGUCAGCCACACUGGGACUGAGACACGGCCCAGACUCCUACGGGAGGCAGCAGUGGGGAAUAUUGGACAAUGGGCGCAAGCCUGAACCAGCCAUGCCGCGUGAGUGAUGAAGGCCGUAGGGUUGUAAAGCUCUUUUAUCCGGGACGAUAAUGACGGUACCGGAGGAAUAAGCCCCGGCUAACUUCGUG